UACGUAGGGUGCAAGCGUUAAUCGGAAUUACUGGGCGUAAAGCGUGCGCAGGCGGUUUUGUAAGACAGGUGUGAAAUCCCAGGGCUUAACCUUGGAACUGCAUUUGUGACUGCAUAGCUAGAGUACGGAAGAGGCGAGUGGAAUUCCUGGUGUAGCGGUGGAAUGCGCAGAUAUCAGGAGGAACACCAAUAGCGAAGGCAGCUCGCUGGGACGUUACUGACACUGAGGCGCGAAAGCGUGGGGAGCGAACAGG
RNAcentral lists this ribosomal RNA (253 nucleotides) under uncultured bacterium. RNAcentral describes it as "partial 16S ribosomal RNA". It matches the Rfam family "Bacterial small subunit ribosomal RNA", at positions 524 to 776 of the family's 1533-position model. The record is from RNAcentral.